UACGUAGGUGGCAAGCGUUAUCCGGAUUUACUGGGUGUAAAGGGCGUGUAGGCGGGAGUGCAAGUCAGAUGUGAAAACUAUGGGCUCAACCCAUAGCCUGCAUUUGAAACUGUACUUCUUGAGUGCUGGAGAGGCAAUCGGAAUUCCGUGUGUAGCGGUGAAAUGCGUAGAUAUACGGAGGAACACCAGUGGCGAAGGCGGAUUGCUGGACAGUAACUGACGCUGAGGCGCGAAAGCGUGGGGAGCAAACAGG
RNAcentral lists this ribosomal RNA (253 nucleotides) under uncultured bacterium. RNAcentral's name for it is "partial 16S ribosomal RNA". It matches the Rfam family "Bacterial small subunit ribosomal RNA", at positions 524 to 776 of the family's 1533-position model. The record is from RNAcentral.